This 360-nucleotide unclassified non-coding RNA is filed under the name soil metagenome. Its description in RNAcentral is "partial contains small subunit ribosomal RNA, internal transcribed spacer 1, and 5.8S ribosomal RNA". The record is from RNAcentral.
UUUCCGUAGGUGAACCUGCGGAAGGAUCAUCAUUGAAUCCCAUAAACACUCACCUUGUGAACCGAGUAGCUUUGUAUGCAUGCUUUGUCCAUUUGGGCUGACUUGCAUUACAAGCUGCUUUCAUAUGUGUACUUGCUGCUCAUAUAUGGACACGUGUUGGCGGUGAUUUGGCAUGGUGUGUGUGUAGUCGUUUUGGUGACUGCGGUAGCAAUCAUCAUCUGGCAACACGUACGCCUUGCCUGCCCGCCAACCGCGUCCAGUUGCAGCUUGUUAUAUAAAUAAAAACCAUUUAAAAAAAUCUACAAACUUAUAUAUAAUUUAUUAAAAAAACAACUUUCAACAAUGGAUCUCUUGGCUCUC